AUUAAAUGAUGAAAAACCUACUUUUCAGUUCUGCUUCUGAACCAAAAAUUCCUGAAGAUAACCUUUACCAAGCUCAAUUUUCUGACAA
Molecule: small nucleolar RNA, 88 nt
Filed under: Suhomyces tanzawaensis NRRL Y-17324
Lineage: Eukaryota; Fungi; Ascomycota; Pichiomycetes; Serinales; Debaryomycetaceae
Source: RNAcentral